GAUGAACGCUGGCGGCGUGCCUAAUACAUGCAAGUCGAGCGAACGGACGAGAAGCUUGCUUCUCUGAUGCUAGCGGCGGACGGGUGAGUAACACGUGGAUAACCUACCUAUAAGACUGGGAUAACUUCGGGAAACCGGAGCUAAUACCGGAUAAUAUUUUGAACCGCAUGGUUCAAAAGUGAAAGACGGUCUUGCUGUCACUUAUAGAUGGAUCCGCGCUGCAUUAGCUAGUUGGUAAGGUAACGGCUUACCAAGGCAACGAUGCAUAGCCGACCUGAGAGGGUGAUCGGCCACACUGGAACUGGGACACGGUCCAGACUCCUACGGGAGGCAGCAGUAGGGAAUCUUCCGCAAUGGGCGAAAGCCUGACGGAGCAACGCCGCGUGAGUGAUGAAGGUCUUCGGAUCGUAAAACUCUGUUAUUAGGGAAGAACAUAUGUGUAAGUAACUGUGCACAUCUUGACGGUACCUAAUCAGAAAGCCACGGCUAACUACGUGCCAGCAGCCGCGGUAAUACGUAGGUGGCAAGCGUUAUCCGGAAUUAUUGGGCGUAAAGCGCGCGUAGGCGGUUUUUUAAGUCUGAUGUGAAAGCCCACGGCUCAACCGUGGAGGGUCAUUGGAAACUGGAAAACUUGAGUGCAGAAGAGGAAAGUGGAAUUCCAUGUGUAGCGGUGAAAUGCGCAGAGAUAUGGAGGAACACCAGUGGCGAAGGCGACUUUCUGGUCUGUAACUGACGCUGAUGUGCGAAAGCGUGGGGAUCAAACAGGAUUAGAUACCCUGGUAGUCCACGCCGUAAACGAUGAGUGCUAAGUGUUAGGGGGUUUCCGCCCCUUAGUGCUGCAGCUAACGCAUUAAGCACUCCGCCUGGGGAGUACGACCGCAAGGUUGAAACUCAAAGGAAUUGACGGGGACCCGCACAAGCGGUGGAGCAUGUGGUUUAAUUCGAAGCAACGCGAAGAACCUUACCAAAUCUUGACAUCCUUUGACAACUCUAGAGAUAGAGCCUUCCCCUUCGGGGGACAAAGUGACAGGUGGUGCAUGGUUGUCGUCAGCUCGUGUCGUGAGAUGUUGGGUUAAGUCCCGCAACGAGCGCAACCCUUAAGCUUAGUUGCCAUCAUUAAGUUGGGCACUCUAAGUUGACUGCCGGUGACAAACCGGAGGAAGGUGGGGAUGACGUCAAAUCAUCAUGCCCCUUAUGAUUUGGGCUACACACGUGCUACAAUGGACAAUACAAAGGGCAGCGAAACUGCGAGGUCAAGCAAAUCCCAUAAAGUUGUUCUCAGUUCGGAUUGUAGUCUGCAACUCGACUACAUGAAGCUGGAAUCGCUAGUAAUCGUAGAUCAGCAUGCUACGGUGAAUACGUUCCCGGGUCU
This 1372-nucleotide ribosomal RNA is filed under the name uncultured bacterium. RNAcentral describes it as "bacterial SSU rRNA". It matches the Rfam family "Bacterial small subunit ribosomal RNA", at positions 28 to 1381 of the family's 1533-position model. The record is from RNAcentral.